This 251-nucleotide long non-coding RNA is filed under the name Elaeis guineensis (African oil palm). RNAcentral describes it as "long non-coding RNA (EGUI_LNC026429)". Lineage: Eukaryota; Viridiplantae; Streptophyta; Magnoliopsida; Arecales; Arecaceae. The record is from RNAcentral.
GGUACUAUUGCUAGAUGGUCACUUCGAUUGGUACAGAAAUUUAUUCCUGUGCUACCGGCUUAGGUUCGAACAUAUGAGAUCACACACAUUAGAGUUCAUGAUCUGAUCAGAUGGUUGAUCAAUGAUUAAGAAUCAUUAUAGGGUUAGCUCUCCAUUCAGAAAAAUUAUCUUUACAUCCAUCUGCCAGAUCUCAUAAUCCAGAUGGACAGCUAUUACAAGCAUUAUCCGAAUGGAUUUGAGCAUUGUCACAG